CGGCGGACGGGUGAGUAACGCGUGGGUAACCUACCCUGUACACACGGAUAACAUACCAAAGGUAUGCUAAUACGGGAUAAUAUAUUUGAGAGGCAUCUCUUGAAUAUCGAAGGUGAGCCAGUACAGGAUGGACCCGCGUCUGAUUAGCUAGUUGGUAAGGUAACGGCUUACCAAGGCGACGAUCAGUAGCCGACCUGAGAGGGUGAUCGGCCACAUUGGAACUGAGACACGGUCCAA
Molecule: ribosomal RNA, 237 nt
Filed under: uncultured bacterium
Lineage: Bacteria
Description: partial 16S ribosomal RNA
Rfam family: Bacterial small subunit ribosomal RNA
Source: RNAcentral